AUUGGGCGUAAAGCGCGCGCAGGCGGUCUCUUAAGUCUGAUGUGAAAGCCCACGGCUCAACCGUGGAGGGUCAUUGGAAACUGGGAGACUUGAGUGCAGGAGAGAAAAGUGGAAUUCCACGUGUAGCGGUGAAAUGCGUAGAGAUGUGGAGGAACACCAGUGGCGAAGGCGGCUUUUUGGCCUGUAACUGACGCUGAGGCGCGAAAGCGUGGGGAGCAAACAGGAUUAGAUACCCUGGUAGUCCACGCCGUAAACGAUGAGUGCUAGGUGUUGGGGGGUUCCACCCUCAGUGCUGAAGUUAACACAUUAAGCACUCCGCCUGGGGAGUACGACCGCAAGGUUGAAACUCAAAGGAAUUGACGGGGGCCCGCACAAGCAGUGGAGCAUGUGGUUUAAUUCGAAGCAACGCGAAGAACCUUACCAGGUCUUGACAUCCUUUGAUCACUCUAGAGAUAGAGCUUUCCCCUUCGGGGGACAAAGUGACAGGUGGUGCAUGGUUGUCGUCAGCUCGUGUCGUGAGAUGUUGGGUUAAGUCCCGCAACGAGCGCAACCCUUGACCUUAGUUGCCAGCAUUCAGUUGGGCACUCUAAGGUGACUGCCGGUGACAAACCGGAGGAAGGUGGGGACGACGUCAAAUCAUCAUGCCCCUUAUGACCUGGGCUACACACGUGCUACAAUGGAUGAUACAAAGGGUUGCGAAGCCGCGAGGCCAAGCCAAUCCCAAAAAGUCAUUCUCAGUUCGGAUUGUAGGCUGCAACUCGCCUACAUGAAGCCGGAAUUGCUAGUAAUCGCGGAUCAGCAUGCCGCGGUGAAUACGUUCCCGGGCCUUGUACACACCGCCCGUCACACCACGAGAGUUUGUAACACCCGAAGUCGGUGGGGUAACCCUUUU
RNAcentral lists this ribosomal RNA (892 nucleotides) under Fictibacillus phosphorivorans. Its description in RNAcentral is "bacterial SSU rRNA". It matches the Rfam family "Bacterial small subunit ribosomal RNA", at positions 553 to 1444 of the family's 1533-position model. Lineage: Bacteria; Bacillati; Bacillota; Bacilli; Caryophanales; Fictibacillaceae. The record is from RNAcentral.